CCAUAACCCAACAAUUUACUUAAAUUUAAUACAUCACAAUAGGACAAUCUAGUAAAAUACACAAAAUUCAUAGCAACCCACAUUGCCAAUGUACAAUUUUUAUAGGGUUAGCAUCUUUCUUUAUAUUAAUUUUUUUUAAAGUAAGCUACUGUGUUCCAUUUACAAUAGCCAAAACGUACCGUCAUUUAGGCAGUUUAAAGAGAUCUAAUUAACACUUUUAAAACUAACUUCAUAGACCUUUUGGCACUUAGAAACAAAACAAAAGAUUCCAUAUCAUAUCAGCUGAAACACAGCACAGUAUAAACUGCCACUGGUAGAAAACAAAUAAAGUGUCCUUUCUUCUAAAUCACCACAUAGUCCAAAUAUGUACUGAUGGAAAAGGGCCAGCCUCACUCUACUGUGGCUAGUUCUUCCUCAGCCUGUCAAUUUUGGAAACAUUCUUGAAAUUAUUUCACAAAACAUUGAUGGCUUUUUUACCGUGUGUACUUAAAGAAGACACUUAUGAAAAUCGUACCUCCUUUCUUUACUUUGUUAAAUCUUAAUACAAUUAUUUCCCCACUUUCUUCUUGGCAGUGUAUAGCCUUUGGUAGCAUUACAACUCUAUGAAUGGGCUAUUCUGGCUGGAUUUUCAUUCUCAGCAACGGAGAGGCAAUAGCUUCUUGUAUAACAGAUGCCAUGAGAAAGAAUAAAUCAUUAAGAAAAGGAUAGUUGUGCCAAAGUCUUGUUCACACAAGAGAGUGUUGUUGCAUUUGCUUUUGCAAACUUUUGGUCUCUGCAGAUUGUGGUACAUUUCUACGUUAUAAAUUCCAGCUGCUUCUAGCAUCACAUAUUGUGCUCAAAAUUACAACCCCCACUCUCCAUAGCGGCCUUUUCUCCCCCACCAGCUCCUGAACUGUAUUAUUUCAAUCAGUUCUUGGCAAAGUAACUAGUGAUUGUUUUACGUUUCACUGAUUGCAGGCUCCAUGCACUACUAUUUAUUCUGAAAGGCAACUAUUGUAUCAGUCAUUUCCCUCCUGUCUGAAAUUAUCCUGAGAAUCCAUAAGGAAAUCUGAACAAACUAUUGUGGCUUUCAGAAGACUGUAAUUAUAAUAAAGACUCUUAAGCAUUUUCAGACUCCUGAAAUCUGAAAAAGGGGUAAAAUGCUUGUAGCAUGAUACAAAUCUGUUCUGUUUGGAGAGGCUGCACUGGUCAUUAGUGGGAUUCACUCCCAUGGUUGUUUUUAAAGACAAACAUUGUUCCCGAUAAAUAUGGAUAUCCUUUGCUGUGAAGAGACUUGAUACCAAGUUCAGGGGAUCUUGCUAGGAUUUCAGGAUCAAACUGGAACAUGGAGUACUAGCUCUCUCAGGCACUUUUGAAUAUUCCACUUUGUCUCAUCAAGGAUUCCUUGGAAUUACAGGCUGUUCUUACUACACAUCCAAGCAAGGAAGGGGGGGGAAGGACUUGAGAAAAUAAGCCAGACGUGGGUAUACAAAAUGUCAAAGGCAUUUAAGGUGGUCAACAAAUAGGACUUUGUCUUGUUCUGUUAACAUUUCCCUUUACAAAGACUGGUCUCUGUGUUAUGACUGCCUUGUGAAAACUGUGUCAAAGAGCCUCCUUACACUGGCUGCUCCACAUGGCAGUUGUAACAUGUAGAGUGACUUCCCAUGUGGGCAACUGCUAGCCCAUUAAAAUGUCUGGCAGUGCUAUGGAUGCAAUCUAUAUGUUGAGACAUUCCACACACUGCUGUAUGAAUCAGCUGCCAUGAGGAUGUUUCAGGCUACGUAGGAUAGACUCGAAUCUAAAGAAGGAUUUGUCAUCUGCAUUACUUUGUAGUUUUAUACAGUGGUGCCUCGCAAGACGAAAUUAAUCCGUUCCGCGAGAGUCUUCGUCUAGCGGUUUUUUCGUCUUGCGAAGCAACCCUAUUAGCGGCUUAACGGAUUAGCGCUAUUAGCGGUUUAGCGGCUAUUAAAGGCUUAAAGGCUUAGGGGAUUAGCUGCUAAAAGGCUAUUAAAGGCUAUUAAAGGCUUAGCAGAUUAGAUAAAGGGGGAGAAAGCGAAAAAAAUCUCUAGACUCGCAAGACAUUUUCGUCUUGCGAAGCAAGCCCAUAGGGAAAUUCGUCCUGCGAAGCAACUCAAAAACGGAAAACCCUUUCGUCUAGCGGGUUUUCCGUCUUGCGAGGCAUUCGUCUUGCGGGGCACCACUGUAUUCAGCAUGUGCAGAAACCAACUGCCAUGAACAACAGAUUUGUGUUUACUUAAUUGGCACUGUGGCAAAACCCUUGGAGUAAGUGAAAUACUCCUAUAGUAAGGAUGUGGGGAUGAAAAAAAAAGGAUUGUCAUAGUCUGGUAAGGCAUCUUUCAGUGCAUCUUUUGCAUUGCAAACUAAAACAUAAAGUCAUCUGGAGGUAGAGGGUGUCACCUCCACAGGAGAUUUCCUUAUGGCCCUUCCCUUGCGUAAGAAUGCGCAAUAGUCUGCGCAUGCAGAAUGGGAGUCAAGGUAUUGUUGUUCCAUGUGCUGGAUGGCCAGGGAAGGCUGUGCCAAGUACCAGGAUUAUCUCGUCUACUGUUGAUGAGGUGUUACACAGUGCUUACUUUUCAUCUGUUACUUUUUUUAAAAAAAGCCUUCAUUUCAUUUUGCUUUUGCAAGAGUGGCCAUGCUACAAAUUACAAAAACAACAGUGGGGGAAUUAUACAUACAUAGAAGACAAAACACCAUGUUACUAUCACCAUUGCAUUAAUAUGUGCAUAAUAUCUGUGCGUAAGGCUCAAGCCACGGCAACAUUGUGGUGUGCUUUUUUUUUUUGGCAAUGGAGUCAAGCAGAUCCACAAUAGUGAUAAACACAACCAACAUUUCCAUAAUCAACCGAAAGGGCUAUUAACCGAGCAUGCCUGGAUAGGAAGGGGGCCUGAGAGCUAUAGCUCUUAGAUGUGUAUCUAUCCAGAACCUUUCAAAGACUUGUUUUGUGAUUUCUGCGGCAUUCUCUUUAUUACCUUCACGUCUGGCCAUCGUGCAAAGCUUAUCAACUAUACUCUGUUAUUAUUCCCUGUGUUUAGGUUCGGAAUAAUUUUUCCCCAAUUUUCUUUUUUACAACUGUAAAAAAAAAUCCAUAGUAAAAAUAACUCAC
Non-coding RNA from Podarcis lilfordi (Lilford's wall lizard), 3103 nucleotides. The record is from the annotation of a GenBank genome assembly. NCBI's taxonomy places the organism in Eukaryota, Metazoa, Chordata, Lepidosauria, Squamata, Lacertidae.